Molecule: ribosomal RNA, 253 nt
Filed under: uncultured bacterium
Lineage: Bacteria
Description: partial 16S ribosomal RNA
Rfam family: Bacterial small subunit ribosomal RNA
Source: RNAcentral
UACGUAGGUGGCAAGCGUUGUCCGGAAUUAUUGGGCGUAAAGAGCGUGUAGGCGGCCAUGCAGGUCCGUUGUGAAAACUCGAGGCUCAACCUCGAGACGCCGAUGGAAACCGCAUGGCUAGAGUCCGGAAGAGGAGAGUGGAAUUCCCGGUGUAGCGGUGAAAUGCGCAGAUAUCGGGAAGAACACCCGUGGCUAAGGCGGCUCUCUAGUACGGUACUGACGCUGAGACGCGAAAGCGUGGGGAGCGAACAGG